AACGAACGCUGGCGGCAGGCCUAACACAUGCAAGUCGAACGCCGUAGCAAUACGGAGUGGCAGACGGGUGAGUAACACGUGGGAACGUACCCUUCGGUUCGGGAUAACUCAGGGAAACUUGAGCUAAUACCGGAUACGUCCGAGAGGAGAAAGAUUUAUUGCCGAGGGAUCGGCCCGCGUCUGAUUAGCUUGUUGGUGAGGUAACGGCUCACCAAGGCGACGAUCAGUAGCUGGUCNGAGAGGAUGAUCAGCCACAUUGGGACUGAGACACGGCCCAAACUCCUACGGGAGGCAGCAGUGGGGAAUAUUGGACAAUGGGCGCAAGCCUGAUCCAGCCAUGCCGCGUGAGUGAUGAAGGCCCUAGGGUUGUAAAGCU
This 376-nucleotide ribosomal RNA is filed under the name uncultured bacterium. Its description in RNAcentral is "bacterial SSU rRNA". It matches the Rfam family "Bacterial small subunit ribosomal RNA", at positions 29 to 432 of the family's 1533-position model. The record is from RNAcentral.